This 433-nucleotide ribosomal RNA is filed under the name uncultured bacterium. RNAcentral's name for it is "partial 16S ribosomal RNA". It matches the Rfam family "Bacterial small subunit ribosomal RNA", at positions 29 to 507 of the family's 1533-position model. The record is from RNAcentral.
AACGAACGCUGGCGGCAUGCCUAACACAUGCAAGUCGAACGAUGCUUUCGGGCUUAGUGGCGCACGGGUGCGUAACGCGUGGGAAUCUGCCCUUGGGUUCGGAAUAACAGUGAGAAAUUGCUGCUAAUACCGGAUGAUGUCUUCGGACCAAAGAUUUAUCGCCCAGGGAUGAGCCCGCGUAGGAUUAGCUAGUUGGUGGGGUAAUGGCCUACCAAGGCGACGAUCCUUAGCUGGUCUGAGAGGAUGAUCAGCCACACUGGGACUGAGACACGGCCCAGACUCCUACGGGAGGGAGCAGUGGGGAAUAUUGGACAAUGGGCGCAAGCCUGAUCCAGCAACGCCGCGUGAGUGAGGCAGGCCUUAGGGUUGUAAAGCUCUUUUACCCGGGAUGAUAAUGACAGUACCGGGAGAAUAAGCUCCGGCUAACUCCGUG